RNAcentral lists this ribosomal RNA (251 nucleotides) under Campylobacter coli. Its description in RNAcentral is "partial 23S ribosomal RNA". It matches the Rfam family "Bacterial large subunit ribosomal RNA", at positions 1 to 263 of the family's 2925-position model. Lineage: Bacteria; Pseudomonadati; Campylobacterota; Epsilonproteobacteria; Campylobacterales; Campylobacteraceae. RNAcentral also lists the same sequence under 1 other name. The record is from RNAcentral.
AAAAAAGGUAAGCUACUAAGAGCGAAUGGUGGAUGCCUUGACUGGUAAAGGCGAUGAAGGACGUACUAGACUGCGAUAAGCUACGGGGAGCUGUCAAGAAGCUUUGAUCCGUAGAUUUCCGAAUGGGGCAACCCAAUGUAUAGAGAUAUACAUUACCUAUAUAGGAGCGAACGAGGGGAAUUGAAACAUCUUAGUACCCUCAGGAAAAGAAAUCAAUAGAGAUUGCGUCAGUAGCGGCGAGCGAAAGCGCA